Molecule: non-coding RNA, 25 nt
Filed under: Rattus norvegicus (Norway rat)
Lineage: Eukaryota; Metazoa; Chordata; Mammalia; Rodentia; Muridae
Source: RNAcentral
CGCCAUGGUACUUGGAGACUAGCCA